This 76-nucleotide transfer RNA is filed under the name Myxococcales bacterium. RNAcentral's name for it is "tRNA-Asn". It matches the Rfam family "tRNA". From Rfam's summary of the family: Transfer RNA (tRNA) molecules are approximately 80 nucleotides in length. Their secondary structure includes four short double-helical elements and three loops (D, anti-codon, and T loops). The record is from RNAcentral. Lineage: Bacteria; Pseudomonadati; Myxococcota; Myxococcia; Myxococcales.
UCCGCAAUAGCUCAGUCGGUAGAGCAGGUGACUGUUAAUCACCGGGUCGGCGGUUCGAGUCCGUCUUGCGGAGCCA